ACCCAAUGUGACAUUUUUUAGUGCUUACUGAUCUGAUGUACUGGAUGGGAAGGAGUUCCAAGGCCCAGGAAUAAAGGCUAACGUCAUAUUAUUAUGGUCUCAAUGACUAGUGCCAUUAGAGAAUGUGGACUUCAUUCCACAGUCUUACUCCAAAGAAAAAAGAACUACAAAGAAUAAUGACCCAUGAAUUCUGGAGAGGAACGCAAGGCUGAUCCCUUUGAAGUGCUGAAACCUGAUGACUUGCAAUCAAUAGUCUGUGAAACAAUAAGGUUGGCAGUGAGAAGAUGCAGAUUUUCUGCCUCUAAAUGCAGAAUGAUGUGCUGAGCCACUGAGAUAGCUGGGGGACAUAUACUGCGUGUGCCUGUACUGAAAACAGUGAGACUUGGAGAAACUUGAAUAUACUUGGAGAUCUUGUGAUUGUUCUGUUCAAACACGGUUUUUCAACUCUACAGAUAAAGCUGUGGUUUUGUUAAGGGAUUCAGCCACGAAGUCCAUUAGAGCAUCAGAUGCAGUGAGGUCAAAUCAAUUGUCCAUACUGCAGACAAGGACGGGCAGUAAUAAUUGACUGAAGCAAUCACUGCUGUGGGAAAACAAACGUGCUGGCCGUGUCGCUGUGAAGGUCAGGCCUGAUGACACAAAGCUGACUUGCUGAGCAAACAUACCCAUGUAUGUGGAAUAGAGCUGAAGUAGUAAGAAG
Long non-coding RNA from Ficedula albicollis (Collared flycatcher), 697 nucleotides. RefSeq lists it as uncharacterized. NCBI's taxonomy places the organism in Eukaryota, Metazoa, Chordata, Aves, Passeriformes, Muscicapidae. The transcript is spliced from 7 exons. The record is from RefSeq and is a predicted model, not a curated record.